Molecule: ribosomal RNA, 396 nt
Filed under: Escherichia coli
Lineage: Bacteria; Pseudomonadati; Pseudomonadota; Gammaproteobacteria; Enterobacterales; Enterobacteriaceae
Description: bacterial SSU rRNA
Rfam family: Bacterial small subunit ribosomal RNA
Source: RNAcentral
UGGCGGACGGGUGAGUAACACGUGGGAACGUGCCCUAUGGUUCGGAAUAACGCAGGGAAACUUGCGCUAAUACCGGAUAAGCCCUUACGGGGAAAGAUUUAUCGCCAUUGGAGCGGCCCGCGUUGGAUUAGCUAGUUGGUGGGGUAAAAGCCUACCAAGGCAACGAUCCAUAGCUGGUUUGAGAGAACGACCAGCCACACUGGGACUGAGACACGGCCCAGACUCCUACGGGAGGCAGCAGUGGGGAAUCUUGGACAAUGGGGGAAACCCUGAUCCAGCCAUGCCGCGUGAGUGAUGAAGGCCCUAGGGUUGUAAAACUCUUUCGGCGGGGACGAUAAUGACGGUACCCGCAGAAGAAGCUCCGGCUAACUUCGUGCCAGCAGCCGCGGUAAUACG